This 516-nucleotide long non-coding RNA is filed under the name Homo sapiens (human). RNAcentral's name for it is "novel transcript". The record is from RNAcentral. Lineage: Eukaryota; Metazoa; Chordata; Mammalia; Primates; Hominidae.
ACACUCCUCAGUACUCCUGACAUCCAACCAGGUGCCGUGGACAGAAGAGCCAUCAUCUGCCCAGCGGUCUGGCAGCCUGGAGACCUUUCCCCUGGCCUAGUGCUCGCUGCCCGUCAGGUAUCAGUUUGGACGCCGCAUUCCAAUCCAGGAAGCCUUCCUCACCCGGGCAAGAUGAGACCACCUAGUUGCAGGAAAACAAGCUAAGGGCUCCCACUGAUUCUACAUUAUGCCCUUUCCAGUCUGUGGAAAAAAGUGUCUUCCAUGAAACCGGUCCCUGGUGUCAAAAAGGUUGGAGACCGCUGCUCUACGGAUUGAUUGGAGCCGCGGGGACCCUCGCGCCGUCGCCGCCGCCGCCUGGAUCCCCGCACCAGGCCAGCGGAGAAGACCUUCAAGCAGCGCCGCACCUUCCAACAAAGAGUAGAUGUCCGACUUAUUCAAGAGCAGCAUCCAGCCAAAAGCCCGGUGAUAACAGAACGAUACCAAGGUGAGAAGCAGCUUCCUGUCCUGGAUAAAACG